UGAAUGACUCCUGGCAAUGGAUAUCUUGGCUCUCGUGUCGAUGAAGAACGUAGCGGCAUUGCGACACUUGGUGUGAAUUGCAGAAUCCCGUGAACCAUCGAGUCUUUGAAUGCAAGUUGCGCACGAGGCCAUUAGGUCGAGUGCACGUCUGUUUGGGCGUCAUGU
RNAcentral lists this ribosomal RNA (165 nucleotides) under Allium sativum (garlic). RNAcentral's name for it is "5.8S ribosomal RNA". It matches the Rfam family "5.8S ribosomal RNA". From Rfam's summary of the family: 5.8S ribosomal RNA (5.8S rRNA) is a component of the large subunit of the eukaryotic ribosome. It is transcribed by RNA polymerase I as part of the 45S precursor that also contains 18S and 28S rRNA. The record is from RNAcentral. Lineage: Eukaryota; Viridiplantae; Streptophyta; Magnoliopsida; Asparagales; Amaryllidaceae.